Molecule: long non-coding RNA, 2555 nt
Filed under: Chlamydomonas reinhardtii
Lineage: Eukaryota; Viridiplantae; Chlorophyta; Chlorophyceae; Chlamydomonadales; Chlamydomonadaceae
Description: long non-coding RNA (CREI_LNC000347)
Source: RNAcentral
GAUGAGCGAGGGGGAAUUGCCGGGGUAAUCCACUGGGGACAGGAUAGAAGCAGGUCAGUCAUGGGACAGCGAGUAAGAACAUCAGGCAUUGCAAGGCGAGCGGGGGGCGAGACGGGGGGGUCGUUUCGCCGUUCCCAGUGAAGAACAAGGAACGGGGGUGGGGAUUGGAACUUAUGAGCGGGGCACUGCCCUUGCUCCGGAGCUGGAUCUUACCACCUACACAACCCCACGCACCACACCAUCACGUGCACACUCGCGCCUCCCUUCUCAAACCCCAACCUCCCUCCCUCACCGCCCGCCGCAGGUGCCCAACAUGGCCGCUAACCCGCUCAACCCCAAGAAGAAGAUGAUCUCCAAGCCCUUCCAGCGCAUCUGGGACACCUAUGCGCGCCAGGCCUUCACCGGCCCGCCCGAGAACGUGCGCGACCACGUCAUGGCCGCGAGCAGGGCGCUGGCGCAGGUGGGGAGGGGGGGGGGGCAGAGGGUAGGGGGGGUGGGGGGGAGGAGGGGGGGGGUCGAGGGUGGGGGGGAGGUGGACGGUAAGGGGUUGGGGGGUGGAGCGGCGGAGGAGCGUAAGGAUGGGGUGGGGUGGGUGUUGGACGGUGGGGCGGAGGAUAGGGGUGGGGCCUGGGGAGCGAGGUGGGGGCUGGGAUAGGUGGAUGGGCGUGUGCCGCGCCGGUUGCACGUGCGUCGCCUGGCCCGUACGUGGUCACACGUGGUCACAUGCCGGCCGUCUUCCACUUCCUCAGCCUAUCAUGAAUGUAACUCCCCUCCUCCUUCUCAACCCCCUCGACCACCUCCACCUCCCCUCAGGGCGACUGGUCCAAGUCGUACGGCUACAUCAAGUCGCUGAACGCCUGGAACCUGGUGGGGCGCAAGGAGCAGUUGCUGGGUCUGCUCAAGUUGCGCAUCCAGGAGGAGGCGGUGCGCACCUACUUGCUCAGCUACGCCGGACAGUACGCCUCGCUGUCACUGGACCAGCUGGCAAGCAUGUUCGAGCUGCCAGACCGCCAGAUCUACAGGUGGGGGGUGGGGCGGGGGAGGGGGGUGUAAAUACCAGCCCAAACUACACCAAAACCAACGAAAACGAGCGGAGCACAGGCGGAGGCGUUAUGGAGGGGCAUGGGUUGGUUUGCCUGCUCGACAGGGCUUCACAUUCAGCGGCGGCGAUCGCGACGCGCGGUGGACGUCCGCAGCAUUCCCCCUCCCACAACUCGGCUCAACAGCUCCUCACCCAACUCACCUCCUACUCACCGCAUCCUCCCAACACCACCAACCUCUUGAACCCGCCGCAGCAUCGCGUCCAAGAUGAUGAUCGCGGAGGAGCUGGCGGGCAGCUGGGACCAGCCCACCCGCACCAUCGUCAUGCACGCCAACGAGGCCAGCCACGUGCAGCGCCUGGCGCUGCAGCUCGCCGACAAGGCCGCAGUGGUGGUCGACCUCAACGAGCGCGCGCUCGCCUACCGCACCGGAGGCCUGCGCGACGCCGAUGACGAGGGCGGAGCCGGCGGCGGCGGCGGCCGCCGCGGCCGCCGCGACGGCGGCCAGUGGGCCGACGACGAGGGCGGCGCGGGCGGCCGCAGCCGCGGCGGGCCGCGGGUGGGCGGGCCGCCACGGGGCAUGGGCGGCCGUGGCGGUGGAGACCGCGGUGACCGCGGCGGCGGCCGCGGUGGUGGUCGUGGUGGCGGCAUGGGCGGCGGCGCGGGCGGCGGCAUGGGCGGCGGCGGCAUGUCGGCCCUGGGCAACCUGCGCGGCGGCCCGCGCGGCGACCGCGACGGCAGCCAGCGGCCGUAGACGACGUGGGUGCGGUGGUGGUGGUGGGCUGUGUCGUGGCGGCGCGUGUGCAGUCGUGGCGGUGUGGUGGGAGCCGAGGGGUGGAGGAUGGUGGGAGCGGGUGGCAAUGAGGAGGAGAUGAGGCAGGGAGGGUGGAGGCGUGUGAAGCAUCGCAGCAGCAUUAGGCAGCGCGUGUGGUUGUGUGAUUGGNNNNNNNNNNNNNNNNNNNNNNNNNNNNNNNNNNNNNNNNNNNNNNNNNNNNNNNNNNNNNNNNNNNNNNNNNNNNNNNNNNNNNNNNNNNNNNNNNNNNGAGGGAGGGGCGAUGAGCGAGGGGGAAUUGCCGGGGUAAUCCACUGGGGACAGGAUAGAAGCAGGUCAGUCAUGGGACAGCGAGUAAGAACAUCAGGCAUUGCAAGGCGAGCGGGGGGCGAGACGGGGGGGUCGUUUCGCCGUUCCCAGUGAAGAACAAGGAACGGGGGUGGGGAUUGGAACUUAUGAGCGGGGCACUGCCCUUGCUCCGGAGCUGGAUCUUACCACCUACACAACCCCACGCACCACACCAUCACGUGCACACUCGCGCCUCCCUUCUCAAACCCCAACCUCCCUCCCUCACCGCCCGCCGCAGGUGCCCAACAUGGCCGCUAACCCGCUCAACCCCAAGAAGAAGAUGAUCUCCAAGCCCUUCCAGCGCAUCUGGGACACCUAUGCGCGCCAGGCCUUCACCGGCCCGCCCGAGAACGUGCGCGACCACGUCAUGGCCGCGAGCAGGGCGCUGGCGCAGG